AGGACGAACGCUGGCGGCGUGCUUAACACAUGCAAGUCGAGCGAGGCCCCACCUUCGGGUGGGUGUCCUAGCGGCGAACGGGUGAGUAACACGUGGGCAACCUGCCCCUAGCACUGGGAUAACUCCGGGAAACCGGGGCUAAUACCGGAUACGACUUCGGAAGGCAUCUUCUGAAGUGGAAAGGGUUACUGGCUAGGGAUGGGCCCGCGGCCUAUCAGCUUGUUGGUGGGUAACGCUACAAGGCUCCGACGGGUA
This 255-nucleotide ribosomal RNA is filed under the name uncultured soil bacterium. RNAcentral's name for it is "partial 16S ribosomal RNA". It matches the Rfam family "Bacterial small subunit ribosomal RNA", at positions 26 to 285 of the family's 1533-position model. The record is from RNAcentral.